ACGAGUCUUAGAGAUAUCCAUACCGUGUGGAGCGAGGAUUAUUAGGCAAGACGUGUCAACAAUGGUGCCACGAGGAAUUGAUAGUUAUGGCUUUCCAAGUGUGAUUACCUGAAUCUAAAUGCUUUACUCCUUCAUUUAAUUAAACAUAUGUAUAGCUCCCAAAUUGGCAAAAAUGACAUGUUAUGCGUACAUUAUGAGUAUGACUAAUUGAUCAGGUGGCUAUUAUUUGAAUGUAUUGCUCUUUAAAAGAAAUUAAAACUUAAUGACAUGUUUUGAGAUAUAUCUUAAUUAUCGUCUAAUCUUCUCAAACCUUCCUGACGGCCAACGAACAGAACCGGAUAUAAAUAUAUAGACAGACGGGUGGAAUUUUGCUAAACCCUAUUAUUAAAAGCAGUCCAACAAAUAGAGAAAAUAAAAUGUAACUUUAAGGAAAACAAAACUAAAAAAACUUAAUCAGAAACCUAUCUGAGCGUAAUGGUUGAGUUAACUACAGAAGGUUUGGCUAAGCACAAGUUGAAAAUUGACAAUAUUUUCUAAGCACGAGUUGAAAAUUGAAAUUAAUUAACACAUCAAUGUUUCGAGCGUGCUUCUGGAGGCUCCAAAUAGCAAUCAUAAAUAUUCAAGAAAAACCUGGAAGCACUUUGUAGGCUUGUAACCAUUGCAAGAUAUUUCGUUAAAACUCAAAGGAACAUUUAGAUUGCACAUGACCUCACCGCCAAUCUCAUGAUUCUUAUCUUUGAAAGCAAUCACCACGUCAAUACUGUAAAGGCGAGUAGUAUUUGAGAAGCAAGGGUUCCUCAAACACCAUAGGCUUCCACCCUUGAACAACUGCAUUCUGAAAUAUGGUUGUAUUAUUGGCUUCUAGGCGAAACGUUGUCUGGCUGUCAAUCAAGGUGACAACGCCAGAUCUUUUUUUUUUGAUAGUAUGCAGUGACUUGGGUGUCAAUCAACUCAAAGGGGAUCCUUGUAAGGGUUUGUGAGGGUGAUGUUGAGGGGGAGCUUGUAGGAGAGAGUAUGGUUGGUUUCGGUGUAAUUAAAUCGGGUAAGAUAAGCACCGUUGAUGCUGAAUUCAGAGCCUUUUGGCUCUUCCACACUCAAGCAGGCAUAUAAAGUAAGAGCAACCACUGCGCAACAAAACAAACACAACCCCAAUAAUGUUUUCCGGGAAUCUCUGUUAUUCUCGUUGUAUGAACUUUGAAUUGCAGACAUGGCUAACAAGAAGCAAGAAACCGUUUAAGAAACUAAUGGAUACAAAGGCUAACUGCAAUUCUAGGGUUUAUAUUAUAGCCUGCCCAUUCCAAAGCCUUGUUCAAAGAGAAGUUAGAAUCCAAAUCAAUUGCAAUUAGGUUGCCUUGAUCUUUUGGUGGGGUAACAAUUCACGUACAAAUUGGAAACUUAGGGAGAGGAGGAUUAGGAUUCGGUUGGCGCCUAUUAUCAUGGGUAACUUUUGCUUUCUUUUUUUCUUUUUCAGACCAAAAGAAACUUGUGCUUUAUUUUCUUUAUUAUAAAAGUUGCCCAUUUCUUUUUACUUAUUUAAAAAACC
RNAcentral lists this long non-coding RNA (1543 nucleotides) under Prunus persica (peach). RNAcentral's name for it is "long non-coding RNA (PPER_LNC000512)". The record is from RNAcentral. Lineage: Eukaryota; Viridiplantae; Streptophyta; Magnoliopsida; Rosales; Rosaceae.